GGCAGGACUCCCAGCAACGGAUAUCUCGGCUCUCGCAUCGAUGAAGAACAUAGCGAAAUGCGAUACGUGGUGUGAAUUGCAGAAUCCCGUGAACCAUCAAGUCUUUGAACGCAAGUUGCGCCCGAGGCCAUCCGGCCGAGGGCAUGCCUGCUUGAGCAUCAUGC
This 164-nucleotide ribosomal RNA is filed under the name Metroxylon sagu. RNAcentral describes it as "5.8S ribosomal RNA". It matches the Rfam family "5.8S ribosomal RNA". Rfam says of the family: 5.8S ribosomal RNA (5.8S rRNA) is a component of the large subunit of the eukaryotic ribosome. It is transcribed by RNA polymerase I as part of the 45S precursor that also contains 18S and 28S rRNA. Lineage: Eukaryota; Viridiplantae; Streptophyta; Magnoliopsida; Arecales; Arecaceae. The record is from RNAcentral.